AAAAGGAAGACAAGAUGGAAAACGGAAAGGCGAAAAGGUGGGAGAAAAAAAAAAAUUGUGUGGUCUCUCUGAGCUACACUUUUUUUUUUUUUUUUUUU
RNAcentral lists this non-coding RNA (98 nucleotides) under uncultured eukaryote. The record is from RNAcentral.